RNAcentral lists this transfer RNA (70 nucleotides) under Olene inclusa. Its description in RNAcentral is "tRNA-Leu". The record is from RNAcentral. Lineage: Eukaryota; Metazoa; Arthropoda; Insecta; Lepidoptera; Erebidae.
ACUAUUUUGGCAGAAAAAUGUAAUGAUUUUAGAAGUCGUAAAUGUAUAAUAAUAGAUUAUAUAAAUAGUA